GCAGUCGUGGCCGAGUGGUUAAGGCGAUGGACUAGAAAUCCAUCGGGGUCUCCCCCGCACAGGUUCCAAUCCUGUCGACUGCG
This is a non-coding RNA of Ixodes scapularis (black-legged tick), 83 nucleotides long. Lineage: Eukaryota; Metazoa; Arthropoda; Arachnida; Ixodida; Ixodidae. The record is from Rfam.